GCGCCGCUCGCCGGCCGAGGUGGGAUCCCGAGGCCUCUCCAGUCCGCCGAGGGCGCACCACCGGCCCGUCUCGCCCGCCGCGCCGGG
Molecule: microRNA precursor, 87 nt
Organism: Choloepus hoffmanni (Hoffmann's two-fingered sloth)
Lineage: Eukaryota; Metazoa; Chordata; Mammalia; Pilosa; Megalonychidae
Source: Ensembl